CCCGGGGCUCGCGCCCCGGGCUAUUCACGGUCGCCCCUCCGGGGCU
Molecule: small RNA, 46 nt
Filed under: Singulisphaera acidiphila DSM 18658
Lineage: Bacteria; Pseudomonadati; Planctomycetota; Planctomycetia; Isosphaerales; Isosphaeraceae
Description: Acido-Lenti-1 RNA
Rfam family: Acido-Lenti-1 RNA
Source: Rfam by way of RNAcentral